Molecule: ribosomal RNA, 730 nt
Filed under: uncultured Desulfobulbaceae bacterium
Lineage: Bacteria; Pseudomonadati; Thermodesulfobacteriota; Desulfobulbia; Desulfobulbales; Desulfobulbaceae
Description: bacterial SSU rRNA
Rfam family: Bacterial small subunit ribosomal RNA
Source: RNAcentral
AGAGUUUGAUCAUGGCUCAGAACGAACGCUGGCGGCGUGCUUAACACAUGCAAGUCGAACGCGAAAGGGACUUCGGUCCCGAGUAGAGUGGCGCACGGGUGAGUAACGCGUAAGUAAUCUACCCCUGUAUCUGGAAUAACCCACCGAAAGGUGAGCUAAUACCGGAUACGUUUAUCUUGAUGCGAAUGAUGAUAAAGAAAGGUGGCCUCUUCAUGAAAGCUACCGUACAGGGACGAGCUUGCGUACCAUUAGCUGGUUGGUAGGGUAAUGGCCUACCAAGGCGACGAUGGUUAGCGGGUCUGAGAGGAUGAUCCGCCACACUGGAACUGAAACACGGACCAGACUCCUACGGGAGGCAGCAGUGAGGAAUAUUGCGCAAUGGGGGCAACCCUGACGCAGCGACGCCGCGUGGACGAUGAAGGCCCUUGGGUCGUAAAAUCCUGUCAGAUGGAAAGAAAUGUACAGGUGUUAAUAUCGCCUGUAUUUGACGGUACCAUCAAAGGAAGCACCGGCUAACUCCGUGCCAGCAGCCGCGGUAAUACGGAGGGUGCGAGCGUUGUUCGGAAUUACUGGGCGUANAGCGCGCGUAGGCGGUUUGCUAAGUCAGAUGUGAAAGCCCUCGGCUUAACCGGGGACGUGCAUUUGAAACUGGCAGACUUGAGUACUGGAGGGGGUGGUGGAAUUCCCGGUGUAGAGGUGAAAUUCGUAGAUAUCGGGAGGAAUACCGGUG